GUGGGUAUGGCCUGGCAUUGUUCCAUGGUCAUGGGAGCAGGAGUACGUACGGCUUGGUGUGCUAAUGAAAAUGAGGCAUCAGCAGUGAGAGCAGCUUGGUGAGCCAUGAGAUAUUCAUGGGCAAGGAGAAGACCGUGAACAUCUUCAAGGCUAUAGUCAGCCAGACAGAUGGUGAUUACAGCCACGAUAGAGUUGAAGUUGGAAACCAGACCUGUAAGUACUUGGACGAUCAAUUUAACCUUCGAGAGAGGUUGGCCGAUGGAGCUCAGACUGUCAGCUACAGACUUCAUUUCAUGAAUAUAUUCUAUCACAGAGGCAAUCCCUUCUUCAUAGAGAGGAAGCGGGAUCGGAGAUGAAGUGCUCUUGCACUUGAUGCAGAUGCAAAUGCACGAGGGAGUGCAUCCUAGACCUCUUCGGAAGUCUUAAGGCCAGCAAUAAGAGUAAUGAGCGAAUCGUGAAGGGAGUUUACCAGCCACGUAAGGACCUGUUGGUCCUUGUUAACCCAAGCAACAUACUCUGGAUUGAGAGUUUUGACGAUGGUGGCCGGAUCAGUA
Molecule: long non-coding RNA, 554 nt
Filed under: Elaeis guineensis (African oil palm)
Lineage: Eukaryota; Viridiplantae; Streptophyta; Magnoliopsida; Arecales; Arecaceae
Description: long non-coding RNA (EGUI_LNC005149)
Source: RNAcentral